This 86-nucleotide transfer RNA is filed under the name Candidatus Dormiibacterota bacterium. RNAcentral describes it as "tRNA-Leu". It matches the Rfam family "tRNA". From Rfam's summary of the family: Transfer RNA (tRNA) molecules are approximately 80 nucleotides in length. Their secondary structure includes four short double-helical elements and three loops (D, anti-codon, and T loops). Further hydrogen bonds mediate the characteristic L-shaped molecular structure. tRNAs have two regions of fundamental functional importance: the anti-codon, which is responsible for specific mRNA codon recognition, and the 3' end, to which the tRNAs corresponding amino acid is attached (by aminoacyl-tRNA synthetases). tRNAs cope with the degeneracy of the genetic code in two manners: having more than one tRNA (with a specific anti-codon) for a particular amino acid; and 'wobble' base-pairing, i.e. permitting non-standard base-pairing at the 3rd anti-codon position. Lineage: Bacteria; Bacillati; Candidatus Dormiibacterota. RNAcentral also lists the same sequence under 1 other name. The record is from RNAcentral.
GCCGAGGUGGUGGAAUGGUAGACACGCUGCUUUGAGGGGGCAGUGAGCGCAAGCUCGUCCGGGUUCAACUCCCGGUCUCGGCACCA